Molecule: long non-coding RNA, 428 nt
Filed under: Mustela putorius furo (domestic ferret)
Lineage: Eukaryota; Metazoa; Chordata; Mammalia; Carnivora; Mustelidae
Description: lncRNA (ENSMPUG00000027098.1)
Source: RNAcentral
CGAUCAGUCACUCUAGACACACCUUCUGGCAAAUCGCCAGGCGCCAUUUUGCAAAGCUCUGCGGUUGACGGAUCUCCGGGCCCCUGGAGCACCCGCCCUCGACACCAGGAAAUAAGGAAAACAUCCGUUUUGCCAGAAAUAGGAAAUUUAAAGCCAAAAAGUCCAUUUUUACCUGAAGCUUCAGAAGAUCCCGUGAAGAAUGUACAAUAAUCAGCAGUUUGCUUACUUCCACACCAACAGAAGGAAAUUUACACUUAUAUGCCCUGAAGAAUUGACUCGUUUCUGUAAAUGACAUAUGGUGGAGAAUCCUUUUUGAAAAUAAAUACUCCUGUUUUCAUGCUGAACGGGUUUUUUCAUUUAAAUUCAUGACAACAUAUCAAAAACCUUGCCAUAAAAAUACAGAGCAAUCAAUUGAAGUAAUACAGGAU